Molecule: ribosomal RNA, 255 nt
Filed under: uncultured bacterium
Lineage: Bacteria
Description: partial 16S ribosomal RNA
Rfam family: Bacterial small subunit ribosomal RNA
Source: RNAcentral
AUGUGGUUUAAUUCGAUGAUACGCGAAGAACCUUACCUGGGUGUUGACAUGUGCAGAGAAAGUUUUCCGAAAGGAGAACCCUUUAAUAAUUUAUUAUUAAACUCUGUCACAGGUGAUGCAUGGCUGUCGUCAGCUCGUGUCGUGAGAUGUUAGGUUAAGUCCUGCAACGAGCGCAACCCCUAUAUUUAGUUGCCAGCACAUAAUGGUGGGGACUCUAAAUAGACUGCCCGGAAUAACCGGGAGGAAGGUGGGGAU